GGGGACAUGGCGGAAUGGUAGACGCGCCGGACUUAAAAUCCGUUGGAGCAAUCCGUGUGGGUUCGAGUCCCACUGUCCCUA
RNAcentral lists this transfer RNA (81 nucleotides) under Caulobacter henricii. It matches the Rfam family "tRNA". From Rfam's summary of the family: Transfer RNA (tRNA) molecules are approximately 80 nucleotides in length. The record is from Rfam by way of RNAcentral. Lineage: Bacteria; Pseudomonadati; Pseudomonadota; Alphaproteobacteria; Caulobacterales; Caulobacteraceae.